RNAcentral lists this ribosomal RNA (503 nucleotides) under uncultured Desulfobulbus sp. RNAcentral describes it as "bacterial SSU rRNA". It matches the Rfam family "Bacterial small subunit ribosomal RNA", at positions 904 to 1382 of the family's 1533-position model. Lineage: Bacteria; Pseudomonadati; Thermodesulfobacteriota; Desulfobulbia; Desulfobulbales; Desulfobulbaceae. The record is from RNAcentral.
GCCAGCCCGCUCAAGAAACUUAAUGAAUUGACGGGGCCGCACAAGCGGUGGAGUAUGUGGUUUAAUUCGAUGCAACGCGAAGAACCUUACCUGGUCUUGACAUCCCGGAGACCCUUAGGAAACUAGGGGGUGCUUCCAUCUGGAAGAAUCUGGAGACAGGUGCUGCAUGGCUGUCGUCAGCUCGUGUCGUGAGAUGUUGGGUUAAGUCCCGCAACGAGCGCAACCCUUGCCUUUAGUUGCCAGCAGUUCGGCUGGGCACUCUAAAGGGACUGCCGGUGUUAAACCGGAGGAAGGUGGGGAUGACGUCAAGUCCUCAUGGCCUUUAUGACCAGGGCUACACACGUACUACAAUGGCCGAUACAAAGGGCAGCGACACUGCGAGGUGAAGCCAAUCCCGUAAAAUCGGUCUCAGUCCGGAUUGGAGUCUGCAACUCGACUCCAUGAAGUUGGAAUCGCUAGUAAUCGUGGAUCAGCAUGCCACGGUGAAUACGUUCCCGGGCCUU